Molecule: long non-coding RNA, 6837 nt
Filed under: Brassica napus (rape)
Lineage: Eukaryota; Viridiplantae; Streptophyta; Magnoliopsida; Brassicales; Brassicaceae
Description: long non-coding RNA (BNAP_LNC021884)
Source: RNAcentral
CGCGUUCGUGAUGGAGGCGUGGAGGAAGGACCUCGGGAUCGAGGACGAGGUGAUGCUGCUGUCCGGAUCUUGUGGACACGUGUCAUUAUCUCACCCCUCUCUCUCUCGAGACCAAAGCAUCCUCUCUCUUUCUCUCGUGUCUCCGCGACGACUCGACUCCAUCAACCGGCGACUCCAUCAACCGGCGACUCCGACGAUGACCUCUCCGCGACGACUCCGACUCAGAGACUCAUUCUCGUCAACCUCACGUCUUCCUCCGCCGCGGCGUCUUCUUCGCACACAAGUUAGGUUUAUGUUUUGAGAAAAAGUAAUAAAGCUUUCACCUUUGAGAAUUUGGUUCUUGACCCUUGUGGGAGCUUGCUUAAUUGAAGUUGUUGGUGUGGUGGUUAUUGAAGUCCUUCACUUUCUUCAUUUGUUGAGUCUGAUACUCUCGGUUUGAUAAUAAUCAAUGAUCUACUGAUUUUGGGAAUAUAUCAAAACCAUUUCUUUUGCUUUGAAAUUGAUCUUUAGUAAGUAAGGAUCCUCUAGUUUUUCAAGUGGGUUCAUUUCAAGGUCUUUUGGUGUGAUGUUUGUUUCUCACUAAAAAGUCUGAUCCUUGCAUGUUGGUCUUUGUUUAUCACCAAAUCACGUGUUACAACUUCUAUUGUGCUUAGUUAUUUAUUCUCAGACAAGAUUCAGAACAGUGGUCCCAUAUUUUUGUUUGAUUGAUUUAGUUGACAUGUUUGGCUUUUUCAUAAGGUAUAAAAAGAUUUGUUUUGGAGUGUUAAAGAUCUCGUAUGAAUGCUGGAUAUGGAAAGAGUUGGUGAGCUUAAGAGGCAUAGAGACGAGAUGAUGGGUCACUUUGGUGGUUAUCUGAAUGAUUUUCAAGAGUUUGAGCCUGUGGUAAGGCCGCCAACGAUGGAAUCAAACUAUCCUUUGCUGGAGAUUGAAGAGGUUGUGGCUGCUGGUGAUGAUGAAGCUGGUUCUAGCUCGUUCCGUGGGGUUAGUCAUCCUCCAGAGAAGCCAAGCAUAGCUGAGGAGCCUGCAACAUCUCUGUCUCCGUUCUCUACGGCUCGUGCAAAAUCUCUACAGAGCCAGAGACAAGGAGUUCCAAAGAGUUUUUGUAGACACAGCCGGAAAUUCGUGCAGCUACGUACCUAGUCUAGCUCAUCCUCAUGGAUCCUCCAAGCAAGACACAACCCGCAUAAGAUAUAGGAAAAAUAGAUUCAACUAGGUGGUGUUAUGCUCAUGUUUUUUUUUUUCUUGAACUUCUCACUUUUUUACAAGAAACGCUGAACAACACUCAUCAUACAAAUAAUGAAGAGCAACCUUAUUGCAUAGAACUUUAGAGGGGUUUACCGAGCUCAGAAGUUUGCGAAGCUCACUCACUCUCUUUGUCUGAAGUUUAUCUGCUUUUCCUGUUUUCGAUUCGAAACAAAUAUGAAGCUAAAAGAAUUUGUCUGAUUCUUGUCUUCAUAUCGGUCUCUUGAAUUAUAUUUACCAUGGAAGCUGUGCUUCUAUGCUCUAGGGUUGUUCCUCGUGCGACUAUUUGGAAUCGAACCGGAAACUUUCGUUCAGUCAUUUCAACAAACACCUUAAGUGCAAUUCGCUUCCUUACAGAUUCCAAAAAGACUCCAUUACUCCUCAGCUUUGAGCUAUUAAGGGUCCUUCAAGCUUGAGAUAUGCUCCAUUCUCAGGCAGAAAAGGUUCGUGUGUUCCGCCAAGAUGCUCGAUUUCAACCCCGACUGUUUUCAAUUCCGACAACCCUUUCCUGAGCUCACUGGUUGAUAAAGUUCGUCAGCUGAAAGUUAAGCCCUUGAAUGCUGUAAAGUUAACUCUUUUACUAUCAAUUUAAACUCUAGUUCCAAAAAGGUAGUGACUUUAGUCUUCAACCCCUUCUUCUGGAUGUAUUUCAGCUGGACAUGGCUGUUUCUGGCUUUGGUUUAUCGCUCUGUCUCUCGCGGGUUACGCCAUUCACUUCACCAAGCCAACGCCUUUGAGCAGCUUGGUACAGAACUUCACUCUUCACAUGGCUUACACUUGUGCCUAAUCUUGAAGGCUGCCUUUUGUGUUCUUCUUACACUUCUUCUUUUUUCAAUGUAACAGUUAGAAAACGCCUCUAUGGUCUAAGGUUUUGUUUGGUGUCCGUGUCAUGGUUGGACAUUGGCUUGCGGCUUUUGAAGGGCCUGAGCUUCACCGUUUAUCAGGCGGUUGGGUUAAUGUAGGGAUAUGGGGUUUGAUUGUGGUUACAAUGCUUAUGCAAUACGAUUCAACGUUGUAUCUUGCUAGAUAUUCUGAAAAGGUGGUUGUUCCAACGGCUGUUGUACAGUUUGGUCCUUAUAGAUGGAUUAUGCAUCCGAUAUAUGCUUUUACGAUUCUUCUUUUCGCGACGUACUUCAACGCUCUGCGGGCGUCUUUGAGUCUGUUGUUUCUUGUAGCGGUUUGUUUGGUGUACUACGACAAGAAGGCAAAGCUGGAGGAAGACUUAUGAUGGAGAGUUUUGGGAAAAGCUAUUUGGGUUAUGUUAAUAAGGUUAGCCACAAGUUCAUUCCUUUUGUUUACUAGUGCGUUAGUGGAACUUGUGUUGUUGUGUCUAAUUAUCUGGUAUCUAUCAGUCAAAGAAGUAUGAAUGAAAGAUGAGUUGUAUUGUUCCAUUUUUAUUUAAAUGUUGGGCUUAUGAAAAUGGAUAUGCUUUUAUGCUAUUCGUGGCUCCCCUUAAUUUUCUAAAUCUCCUGAUCUUAACUGAUUCCCUGACUUCAAAAGUAUAUGAAGACAUCCAGUUAAAAUCUAAAGAUGUUUACUUUCUGAGUGUUUUCGCCUUUACACGUAAGGAAACGCACAAGGAACAAUCCAAAUCAUGAUUAGUUUGAUAAAGUGACCAUUGUUAAAUCUAAUUAUAUUCCUAAUCCCACUUGUUCCUUACUAAUCAAUCAUGAUUAGUUUAGUAAAGUUCUUUCUGCUGAUUAACCUUUGAUUAGUGGCCCUUUGCAUCCCAUUAAGCAUCUCCACCUGGAAAUGUUUCUUUAAUUACUUAUUCAUAGUACUUUUGUGAAAAAAGGUUCGAGGUUUUGUGUAUAAAAACAUUUGAGUUCUUCAGAUAUUUCACAUGAAAAAAACAAACUCUUUAGCUUUGUCCUCUAUUCCUGACAGGCUGACACUUGUGCAGUGAAGUGGGCUUGUUUUGUAUUGAUGUGAUCUCUCUCUCUCUCUCNNNNNNNNNNNNNNAUGUUUCUAGUGAUGACGAGAAUGUCGAUGUAUCCGAUUGAUGUAUUUGUUUUAUGAAUAAGAUGAGGGAGUUUGUUUUAUGAAUAAGAUAAUGUGGGGUUUGUUUUAUGAAUAAGGUAAUGUGGGAGUUUGUUUUAUGAAUAAGCAAAUGUGGGAAUUGUGGUUUGGAAUAGAAAUAAAGAUGGGGUUUGGAAUAUAUGAAAUAGAAAAUAAGGAAUAUGGGGUUUGGGGUUUGGGGUUUCGGAUUCUAGAGAUUUAAACAUAACACUCGUUAAUUCCACGUAAGCCAACGAGGAAAUAACGACGAAAUUUAAAAUAAAGAUGGAUUUUGGAAUAUAUGAAAAUAAGGAAUAUGGAGUUUGGGGUUUGGAAUAUGGGGUUUGGGGUUUCAGGUUUCGGGUUUGGGGUUUAGAGGUUUCGGGGUUUGAGGUUUGGGGUUUCAGGUUUGGGGUUUGGGGUUUGGGGUUUGGGGUUUGGGGUUUGGGGUUUGGAGGUUUUGGGGUUUGAGGUUUGGGGUUUGGGGUUUCAGGUUUGGGGUUUGGGGUUUGGGGUUUGGAGGUUUCGGAUUUUAGGGAUUUAAACAUAAUACUCGUUAAUUCCACGUAAGCACAAAUCGUCGUAAAGACCAGGUAUAAGAAAUCGUCGUAAAUUCCACGUAGGCAGAUCCAAAGGCGUGGACGUCAUCGCGUGCGUCUCCGUGAACGACGCGUUCGUGAUGGAGGCGUGGAGGAAGGACCUCGGGAUCGAGGACGAGGUGAUGCUGCUGUCCGAUGGGAACGGAGAGUUCACGGGGAAGCUCGGCGUGGAGUUGGAUUUGAGGGAUAAGCCUGUGGGGCUCGGAGUUAGGUCGAGGAGGUACGCGAUUCUGGCGGAGGAUGGUGUGGUGAAGGUGCUGAAUCUUGAGGAAGGAGGCGCUUUCACUAACAGUGGUGCUGAGGAUAUGCUUAAAGCUCUUUGAUUCCGUUUUGUCUUAAGACUUUUGUUCUCUUUGUGUUGAAUUUUCUUCUGUCUUUUAAUUUUCUUGAAGCUUUCAGAUUCUGUGUAUCAUCGGAUCUGUAAUGGAAUAAAACAUCGGAGUCGUUUUUGUUUGUCGGAAUAUGUCUGUUUCGAAUUGUUGACUACUUUGGGUUACUCUUUUUAUGAGUGUUUGACAUUUUGUUAAUUGAUUGAGAAGUGCCAUUUCAGUCAGAUACCGAGAUUCCCACUACGUCUUUUGUAUACACCAAAACUUUGCGUGACUUUCUCUGAACAUGUACAGUUCAGCUUGUUUUAUGCAAACACCUAGGGCCUGUGCACAUUAGAGAGACCCAAAAGUCAUUGACUUUCGGAAAUGACGUUAGGUUGUUGGUAGCCGAUACAUACUUGGUAUAAUUGCUUCCUUAGAAAUCAGCGAUGCAUAUCUCAUAUUCAUUUCUUUAAAUCAGAUGCAUCAUCAUAUUCUGAAUCGAAAUUCUCAAUUCUAAUUAUAAUCAAACUAGUAAUCAAUAGAGAGCAUACAAAACUCUUAAAAAACAUUAUAACGUAUCAACAAUACACAUUCCCCCAUAUAGUAAUUUGAGAGGAUACAGAAAUAAAAGUAAACACAAUCGCUUGUGUUUACUUUGCAACCAAAGUUUCACUACAAAAUCACCUGCUAGCUCUGUGUAUGUUAGGUAUCGUGAUGCACGUAAAAUCGCAUGGUAGGGGUUAAGAGCACCGUUAUCGCAGGCUCUUAAGGCCCGUAUUUAGUGUUUUCAGAUUAAAAAAAAAAAUUUGGCUAAUCAGAGAGGAGACGUCGCUUAAUUAAGGCACACAAGAGACGGGAUCUUGUGGACACGUGUCAUUAUCUCACCCCUCUCUCUCUCGAGACCAAAGCAUCCUCUCUCUUUCUCUCGUGUCUCCGCGACGACUCGACUCCAUCAACCGGCGACUCCAUCAACCGGCGACUCCGACGAUGACCUCUCCGCGACGACUCCGACUCAGAGACUCAUUCUCGUCAACCUCACGUCUUCCUCCGCCGCGGCGUCUUCUUCGCACACAAGUUAGGUUUAUGUUUUGAGAAAAAGUAAUAAAGCUUUCACCUUUGAGAAUUUGGUUCUUGACCCUUGUGGGAGCUUGCUUAAUUGAAGUUGUUGGUGUGGUGGUUAUUGAAGUCCUUCACUUUCUUCAUUUGUUGAGUCUGAUACUCUCGGUUUGAUAAUAAUCAAUGAUCUACUGAUUUUGGGAAUUUAUCAAAACCAUUUCUUUUGCUUUGAAAUUGAUCUUUAGUAAGUAAGGAUCCUCUAGUUUUCCAAGUGGGUUCAUUUCAAGGUCUUUUGGUGUGAUGUUUGUUUCUCACUAAAAAGUCUGAUCCUUGCAUGUUGGUCUUUGUUUAUCACCAAAUCACGUGUUACAACUUCUAUUGUGUUCUAUUGUGCUUAGUUAUUUAUUCUCAGACAAGAUUCAGAACAAUGGUCUCAUUUUGUUUGAUUGAUUUAGUUGACAUGUUUGGCUUUUUCAUAAGGUAUAAAAAGAUUUGUUUUGGAGUGUUAAAGAUCUCGUAUGAAUGCUGGAUAUGGAAAGAGUUGGUGAGCUUAAGAGGCAUAGAGACGAGAUGAUGGGUCACUUUGGUGGUUAUCUGAAUCAUUUUCAAGAGUUUGAGCCUGUGGUAAGGCCGCCAACGAUGGAAUCAAACUAUCCUUUGCUGGAGAUUGAAGAGGUUGUGGCUGCUGGUGAUGAUGAAGCUGGUUCUAGCUCGUUCCGUGGGGUUAGUCAUCCUCCAGAGAAGCCAAGCAUAGCUGAGGAGCCUGCAACAUCUCUGUCUCCGUUCUCUACGGCUCGUGCAAAAUCUCUACAGAGCCAGAGACAAGGAGUUCCAAAGAGUUUUUGUAGACACAGCCGGAAAUUCGUGCAGCUACGUACCUAGUCUAGCUCAUCCUCAUGGAACCUCCAAGCAAGACACAACCCGCAUACGAUAUAGGAAAAAUAGAUUUAACUAGGUGCAUGGUGUUUUGCUCUUCUUAUGUUUUUUUUUUUUUUUGAACUUCUCACUUUUUUUUAAUUUCAACCCCCUUCAUACUUUUUUUAAGAUAAAAAUGUUAUAAGAAUUUAAUAAAUAAAUUUGAAAUUUAAUACAAUAAUGUUUAAAUUUUUUUUUUUUUAAGAAUCCUUAAAUAAGAAACUUACAAUGGACCACACAAAUAUAUCCGUCACUUAACUAAUUCUUUUUAACCCACUUUUCCAACUAAAAAUUAUUAAAAAAGAUUAAGAACCCUCUACGUGGAAUAAAAAUGUUCUAACAGUCACUAAAUAAAAGCAGGGGUACAUUUGCAGUAAAUUUGAAAUAUGUGGAUUUAAAAGAAAAAAGAAGGAGCGAACUACGACUUUUGUUUCUUUUCUUUUAAUAACGAAAGAUUCGACAGUCAAUCUCAAUCGCAUAAAGUUAAAUCAAACCAAACCUCACAUAAACACACCUUUCAUCUCUCCGCUCGCCGUCGAUCAUCUGAGAUCUCUCCACUCACCAAAGAUGCAUUCGAGCCAUCUCCUUCUCGAGGAGCCGAUCAGGAUGGCUUCUAUCCUCGAGCCAUCCAAAUCUGUAAACGAUCCACUGAUUUUCUUAGUUUUGAUUUCGCUCGUAAGAGUAUCUCUAAUCUCUCGUUUGAUGUAUCUUCCUCA